CAUAAUAAGAGCUAUCCAACAAAGGUAUAUACAGCUGCCUUGGGGCAUCAUAUUCCAACAUAACAGAAAAUCCUCAAAUGGAAACUAGAUGAUGCCUUGUCAAGGAUGUUAUAGAUAAGAAUCCUUUUCAGCUACAGAUUUAUCUAUAUGAUCUCUGAGGUCCCUUUCAACACUUGAGACUCAUUUUUAAAAAAUAAAGCCAAUCCAUGCCUAAAUACUAUACAACAGGGAAAGCAGGUGCUUCAAUAUAGCACAGCAGCAAUCUAUGUAAUCUUUGUUUACUUCCUUUCGCUUACCUGUACCACAAAUGCAUGAGUACAACAGCAUUGCCAAACAGGGCUAAGAAUUCAUUUUAAAUUUGCUUUACUUUUACUAUGCAGCUGAGACCCAUUGGAUGAAAGCUUGGGGGCAUUGCGUGAAUCUCUGUAUCCUAUCCCAGAGGAGAGAAAAGGGGUCAUAAAGCAUAGCACAUUAUUGCAGCACAGCAAAGGAAUCAUUACACUAAGCAAUAGUGUGAUAUCAAGUUUACAGCUACAUGAAGCUCCUGGGACAGAGCCUCAGAGGCACAAAUUUAUUCCUUAUCAUUGGAAGACUCGGAUCUCAAAAAUCUCACCUAUCUUGUAUCGCAAUUGUAUAACUAUGUCCACAGACCAAUGAGAAAAUCCAGAUAAAGCAUCCAAUCAGAAAACAUAUGAGGAACUAUUGUGUAUAUGGUACAGUAGAGCAUAUAGAGAUUUGGGCUGGUCAGGGUACAGCCCUGUAAUCCCCACCAUCAGGAGACUAAGGUUGAUAGAUCUCUUGACCUCAGCAGCUCUAAAGCAGUGGUGCUCCACCUUUCUAAUGCCAUGACCCCACCAUACAGUUCCUCAUUGUAGUGACCCCAAACCAAAAAAUUAUUUUGGUGGCUACUUCAAAAGCUAUGGUUUGGAAUGUAAAUACCUGAUAUGCAUUAUGGAUUCUCACUGCUACAAAUUGAGAGGUUGAGAACCGCUGCAAACUGUAGUGGGAUAAGUCAAUGGGAUCCACACCAAUUUUGUGAGGGGAGAUGGGGGGACUGAGCUGCCCAAGGCAAGCCAAACUGACUUAGGUUAAAAACAAGACAGGUCAAAGCUCCAGGGUUAUAGCCUAGGUAGGAAAGGAAGAGGCAGAAAGAAGAGAGAAGGAGAGGAGAAGAGAGCAAAGCAAAGGGUCCGCUCCUAAUGGAGCUAACAAUUUAUUUAGAAGGCAGGCUAAACACACAUUGCAUAGCAAGCAAAUAAUACCCCAAAAAGCAUACCUAUUUACCUUCUGUCAAACAGAGGCCUUCCGUGCUACCUGAUUUCAGAGGCGAGAAAGAUCAAGUUGUUAAGGGACUCAAACUGCAAUUAGAAAAGGCCAAGAAGCUAAGAGACCAUGUUACCCUCACCUAGAUAUUCUCCAAUGUGUUUUUCUGAAUUGAUGAAAUGCAGCCCUCACUCCUACAACAGCUGUUAUUGUUAGCUCUUUAAGCUUUUAUAGGUUAUAUCAUAUUAUUUCCUGAAGGGCUUUUAACUGGUACAAGUUUCUGGAGUAUACACUGCUCUGCUGUCAAGAUGUCUCUAUUGGAAAGCUAAUCUUAUAGAGAACAUAAAUGACCGCAUGGACGACUGCCAGUACCAUGUGAUUUGAAGGGCAUGGA
Molecule: long non-coding RNA, 1657 nt
Filed under: Monodelphis domestica (gray short-tailed opossum)
Lineage: Eukaryota; Metazoa; Chordata; Mammalia; Didelphimorphia; Didelphidae
Description: lncRNA (ENSMODG00000048434.1)
Source: RNAcentral